GAUCUCUACAUAGAGAAGGUGAUGACAGAGAUCGGAGGGACUAGGACCUUUUCCCGAAGCCUGUUGAUAAAAACUGGCAAUUGACCAUGUCUCCAUGAAGAGGGGCCAAGGGGGCCACUCACAGAUAGGAAGAUUCAGCACAGCCAAGGAGAGUGCUGGUUCAAUGAGAGGGAUGAAGCAACAGGAAAGGAUGGAGAUGCACCCCAGACACACAUGUGUUUUGCUGCCUGAGCUGGAUCAGAAAAUCUCCCCACCCCCACUAUAUUCUUGCAUAGUGACCAAGACUGGUGAAGUUAUUGUACUACUUGAUAUGGAAAACACCUUAAGCAAAUAAUAGCUAUAUCUGGUGGGGGAGCAAGUGGUUCUUAAUCCUUCCACUCAUCUGCUGAUACUUUCCGGUAAAUCUCUUUCACUUGCUGUUUUCCCCAAAUGGGCUUGCUUGUGUUUUCAUAGCCACCUGGGGAAUAUUGGCCUCUCAUCUGACAAACCAUCCCCACAUUCACAUUAUCUCAGUAGAGAUGCAUUCGAAAAUGUGUGUUUGCUGUAAAAACAUGCAUCUCUCACUUUAGCAUCAGCUUUUUUUUCUUUUCUUUUUGGUCUUGUUUGAAUUUGGAGGAUAUAUAUAUACUUAACUGCCACCAAUUGGGAUUUGUCUAGUCAGCAAGGUUUAGAAAUAGAUCUGUCUGCAGUAAAUAAAGCUAAAAUUUGAAGCUCA
RNAcentral lists this long non-coding RNA (715 nucleotides) under Pogona vitticeps (central bearded dragon). Its description in RNAcentral is "lncRNA (ENSPVIG00000002923.1)". The record is from RNAcentral. Lineage: Eukaryota; Metazoa; Chordata; Lepidosauria; Squamata; Agamidae.